UAGCGGCACGCUUAACACAUGCAAGUCGAGGGGUAUAUCACUUCGGUGAUAGAGACCGGCGCACGGGUGCGUAACGCGUAUGCAACCUACCUUCAACUGGAAGAUAGCCCCGAGAAAUCGGGAUUAAUAUUCCAUAGCGUAUUGAGUCGGCAUCGACACAAUACUAAAGUCACAACGGUAAAAGAUGAGUAUGCGUCCUAUUAGUUUGUUGGUGUGGUAACGGCUCACCAAGACUUCGAUGGGUAGGGGGCCUGAGAGGGUGACCCCCCACACUGGUACUGAGACACGGACCAGACUCCUACGGGAGGCAGCAGUGAGGGAUAUUGGUCAAUGGGCGAAAGCCUGAACCAGCCAUGCCGCGUGCAGGAAGACUGCCCUAUGGGUUGUAAACUGCUUUUAUACAGGAAGAAACACCUCUACGUGUCGAGGGCUGACGGUAGCAAAUGAAUAAGGACCGGCUAACUCCGUGCCAGCAGCCGCGGUAAUACGGAGGGUCCAAGCGUUAUCUGGAUUCAUUGGGUUUAAAGGGUCCGUAGGGGGAUAAUUAAGUCAGAGGUGAAAGUUUGCGGCUCAACCGUAAAAUUGCCUUUGAUACUGGUUAUCUUGAGUUAUUGUGAAGUAGUUAGAAUAUGUAGUGUAGCGGUGAAAUGCAUAGAUAUUACAUAGAAUACCAAUUGCGAAGGCAGAUUACUAACAAUAUACUGACACUGAUGGACGAAAGCGUGGGUAGCGAACAGGAUUAGAUACCCUGGUAGUCCACGCCGUAAACGAUGGAUACUAGCUGUUGGGCUUCGGCUCAGUGGCUAAGCGAAAGUGAUAAAGUAUCCCACCUGGGGAGUACGGGCGCAAGCUUUGAAACUCAAAGGAAUUGACGGGGGCCCGCACAAGCGGUGGAGCAUGUGGUUUAAUUCGAUGAUACGCGAGGAACCUUACCAGGGCUUAAAUGUAGAUUGACAGGGGUGGAAACACUCUUUUCUUCGGACUCAUUACAAGGUGCUGCAUGGUUGUCGUCAGCUCGUGCCGUGAGGUGUCAGGUUAAGUCCUAUAACGAGCGCAACCCCUGUUGUUAGUUGCCAGCGAUUAAAGUCGGGAACUCUAACAAGACUGCCGGUGCAAACCGUGAGGAAGGUGGGGAUGACGUCAAAUCAUCACGGCCCUUACGUCCUGGGCUACACACGUGCUACAAUGGCCGGUACAAUGAGCAGCCACCCCGCGAGGGGGAGCGAAUCUAUAAAACCGGUCACAGUUCGGAUCGGAGUCUGCAACUCGACUCCGUGAAGCUGGAAUCGCUAGUAAUCGGAUAUCAGCCAUGAUCCGGUGAAUACGUUCCCGGGCCUUGUACACACCGCCCGUCAAGCCAUGGAAGCUGGGGGUACCUGAAGUCGGUGACCGCAAGGAGCUGCCUAGGGUAAAACUAGUAACUAGGGCUAA
Molecule: ribosomal RNA, 1431 nt
Filed under: uncultured prokaryote
Description: partial 16S ribosomal RNA
Rfam family: Bacterial small subunit ribosomal RNA
Source: RNAcentral